AUGGUUGAUGGUCAUCCUAUUGAUACACCCUUCAUUGAUAAGUCUUUUGAUGAUAUUGUCAAUGAUAACUAUGUGUCCACUGAAGACUCUUCAGAUGAUGAAAACUAUCAAAAUGUAGAGGUUGAGGUUCAAAAUAAUAGGAGAGUGAAAGUAGAUCAAUCUGAUGAAGAUGAUGAUGUUCCCAUUGGCAACACUAUGAAGAGUGAAAUAACCGACUGA
Non-coding RNA from Vicia faba (fava bean), 219 nucleotides. The record is from the annotation of a GenBank genome assembly. Lineage: Eukaryota; Viridiplantae; Streptophyta; Magnoliopsida; Fabales; Fabaceae.